UUCGUGGGCAUGAGCCCAGAGUGUGUUUUUACAUACUUUUAUAUGUACUUUCUUUUAUUUGGAUCUUGAUUAUUAUUUCAUUUUAUCUUUAUCAUUUUUUACUUUUAUUAAACUUGUCUGCAGACAUUACUUUUGCUGUUUAAACACAUGCCAAGUAAAUGCUGAUGCCAAAUAAUUGAGUCACCUGUAGAAGGAGGUACACUGACUCUGAAAGGAGGUACACUGACUCUGACUUGUAGCCUGCAGCGGUGUUCUGUCUCUGGCAGAUUUCACUGCCCGGGACGUUUUCAAUACCCCUCGUCACU
Long non-coding RNA from Bufo bufo (common toad), 305 nucleotides. RefSeq lists it as uncharacterized. The record is from RefSeq and is a predicted model, not a curated record. The transcript is spliced from 3 exons. Lineage: Eukaryota; Metazoa; Chordata; Amphibia; Anura; Bufonidae.